CCUACGGGAGGCAGCAGGAGGGAAUCUUCCACAAUGGGCGAAAGCCUGAUGGAGCAACGCCGCGUGGGUGAAGAAGGUCUUCGGAUCGUAAAACCCUGUUGUUAGAGAAGAAAGUGCGUGAGAGUAACUGUUCACGUUUCGACGGUAUCUAACCAGAAAGCCACGGCUAACUACGUGCCAGCAGCCGCGGUAAUACGUAGGUGGCAAGCGUUAUCCGGAUUGAUUGGGCGGAAAGGGAACACAGGCGGUCUUUUAAGUCUGAUGUGAAAGCCUUCGGCUUAACCGGAGUAGUGCAUGGGAAACUGGGAGACUUGAGUGCAGAAGAGGAGAGUGGAACUCCAUGUGUAGCGGUGAAAUGCGGAGAUAUAUGGAAGAACACCAGUGGCGAAAGCGGCUCUCUGGUCUGUAACUGACGCUGAGGUUCGAAAGCGUGGGUAGCAAACAGGAUUAGAUACCCUUGUAGUC
Molecule: ribosomal RNA, 465 nt
Filed under: uncultured bacterium
Lineage: Bacteria
Description: partial 16S ribosomal RNA
Rfam family: Bacterial small subunit ribosomal RNA
Source: RNAcentral